Molecule: unclassified non-coding RNA, 7389 nt
Filed under: Coxsackievirus B1
Lineage: Riboviria; Orthornavirae; Pisuviricota; Pisoniviricetes; Picornavirales; Picornaviridae
Rfam family: Picornavirus internal ribosome entry site (IRES) (bases 392-643)
Source: RNAcentral
UUAAAACAGCCUGUGGGUUGUUCCCACCCACAGGCCCAUUGGGCGCUAGCACUCUGGUAUCACGGUACCUUUGUGCGCCUGUUUUACAUCCCCUCCCCAAAUUGUAAUUUAGAAGUUUCACACACCGAUCAUUAGCAAGCGUGGCACACCAGCCAUGUUUUGAUCAAGCACUUCUGUUACCCCGGACUGAGUAUCAAUAGACCGCUAACGCGGUUGAAGGAGAAAACGUUCGUUACCCGGCCAACUACUUCGAAAAACCUAGUAACACCAUGGAAGUUGCGGAGUGUUUCGCUCAGCACUACCCCAGUGUAGAUCAGGUCGAUGAGUCACCGCGUUCCCCACGGGCGACCGUGGCGGUGGCUGCGUUGGCGGCCUGCCUACGGGGAAACCCGUAGGACGCUCUAAUACAGACAUGGUGCGAAGAGUCUAUUGAGCUAGUUGGUAAUCCUCCGGCCCCUGAAUGCGGCUAAUCCUAACUGCGGAGCACAUACCCUCAAACCAGGGGGCAGUGUGUCGUAACGGGCAACUCUGCAGCGGAACCGACUACUUUGGGUGUCCGUGUUUCAUUUUAUUCCUAUACUGGCUGCUUAUGGUGACAAUUGACAGGUUGUUACCAUAUAGUUAUUGGAUUGGCCAUCCGGUGACUAACAGAGCAAUUAUAUAUCUCUUUGUUGGGUUUAUACCACUUAGCUUGAAAGAGGUUAAAACACUACAUCUCAUCAUUAAACUAAAUACAACAAAAUGGGGGCUCAAGUAUCAACACAAAAGACUGGAGCACAUGAGACCGGGCUGAAUGCAAGCGGGAAUUCCAUCAUCCAUUACACAAACAUAAACUACUAUAAAGAUGCUGCAUCCAACUCAGCCAACAGACAGGAUUUCACUCAAGACCCAGGUAAAUUUACUGAGCCAGUGAAGGACAUUAUGAUCAAAUCGAUGCCAGCAUUGAACUCCCCCUCUGCCGAAGAGUGUGGUUAUAGUGACAGGGUUCGAUCAAUAACCCUCGGGAACUCCACUAUCACAACACAGGAGUGUGCUAAUGUUGUGGUUGGGUAUGGUGUGUGGCCAGAAUAUUUGAAGGACAAUGAAGCCACAGGCGAGGACCAACCAACACAACCCGACGUGGCCACAUGUCGGUUCUACACUUUAGAGUCCGUGCAGUGGAUGAAGAAUUCAGCAGGUUGGUGGUGGAAGUUACCAGAUGCACUUUCACAAAUGGGGUUGUUUGGACAAAAUAUGCAGUACCACUACUUAGGGAGAACAGGCUACACCAUCCACGUGCAGUGCAACGCAUCUAAGUUUCAUCAGGGCUGUCUACUAGUGGUGUGUGUGCCGGAAGCGGAAAUGGGAUGCUCAAAUCUAAACAACACCCCAAAGUUUGCUGAACUUUCCGGAGGAGAUAAUGCUAGAAUGUUCACUGACACCGAAGUGGGGACAUCCAACGAUAAGAAAGUACAAACAGCAGUGUGGAAUGCAGGUAUGGGUGUUGGUGUUGGCAACCUGACUAUAUUCCCACACCAGUGGAUCAACCUGAGGACAAACAAUAGUGCUACCAUUGUAAUGCCUUACAUCAACAGCGUUCCCAUGGACAACAUGUAUAGACACAACAACUUGACACUGAUGAUAAUCCCAUUCGUCCCGCUCAACUAUAGUGAGGGAUCAUCACCUUACGUACCAAUCACAGUCACAAUUGCGCCAAUGUGCGCAGAAUACAAUGGCCUUAGACUGGCUAGUAGCCAGGGUUUGCCCGUCAUGACGACACCGGGUAGCACGCAAUUUCUGACUUCUGAUGAUUUCCAAUCGCCAUCAGCAAUGCCACAAUUCGACGUCACACCAGAGAUGCAGAUCCCGGGUCGUGUCAACAAUCUGAUGGAAAUAGCUGAGGUGGACUCUGUGGUCCCAGUGAACAACACUGACAACAACGUGAAUGGUCUUAAAGCCUACCAAAUCCCCGUGCAAUCCAAUAGCGACAAUAGAAGGCAAGUGUUCGGGUUUCCCUUACAACCUGGGGCCAACAAUGUUCUCAACAGGACUUUGUUAGGUGAGAUUUUGAACUACUACACCCACUGGAGUGGUAGUAUAAAGCUCACGUUCAUGUUUUGUGGAUCGGCGAUGGCCACUGGGAAGUUUUUGUUAGCAUACUCACCACCAGGCGCAGGGGUUCCAAAAAACAGAAGAGACGCAAUGUUGGGUACACAUGUCAUCUGGGACGUGGGUUUGCAAUCAAGUUGUGUACUUUGUGUACCCUGGAUCAGCCAGACACACUAUAGGUAUGUGGUGGAGGAUGAGUAUACAGCGGCAGGGUAUGUUACAUGCUGGUACCAAACAAAUAUCAUUGUUCCAGCGGACGUUCAAAGCACAUGCGACAUCUUGUGCUUCGUAUCGGCAUGCAAUGAUUUCUCUGUGCGUAUGUUAAAGGAUACCCCUUUUAUAAGACAAGACAAUUUUUACCAGGGCCCAGUGGAAGAAUCGGUGGAACGCGCCAUGGUGCGCGUGGCUGAUACGGUCAGCUCAAAGCCUACGAAUUCAGAAUCCAUCCCCGCCCUCACUGCUGCGGAGACUGGUCAUACCUCUCAAGUCGUACCCAGUGACACCAUGCAAACUAGACACGUGAAGAAUUACCACUCAAGGUCGGAAUCUUCCAUUGAAAAUUUCUUGUGCCGAUCUGCUUGUGUGUAUUACGCCACCUACAAUAAUAAUUCUGAGAAGGGCUACGCAGAGUGGGUUAUCAACACCAGGCAGGUUGCGCAGUUGCUGAGGAGGAAACUAGAGUUCACUUACUUAAGGUUCGAUCUGGAAUUGACAUUUGUGAUAACAAGUGCCCAGGAGCCCAGUACCGCUACCAGUGUAGACGCACCUGUACAAACCCAACAGAUAAUGUAUGUGCCUCCAGGCGGGCCGGUACCUACCAAGGUUACAGACUACGCCUGGCAAACAUCCACAAACCCCAGCGUCUUUUGGACAGAGGGGAAUGCCCCACCGAGGAUGUCUAUUCCCUUCAUCAGUAUUGGAAAUGCUUAUAGCUGCUUUUAUGAUGGAUGGACACAGUUCUCUAGGAAUGGGGUUUACGGCAUUAAUACCCUGAACAACAUGGGUACGCUGUACAUGCGGCACGUAAAUGAGGCAGGCCAAGGCCCGAUCAAAAGUACAGUUAGAAUAUAUUUUAAACCCAAACAUGUGAAGGCGUGGGUGCCCAGACCGCCGAGGCUAUGUCAAUAUGAGAAGCAAAAGAAUGUUAAUUUCAACCCAACAGGAGUCACCACAACGCGCUCAAACAUUACCACAACCGGCGCUUUUGGACAACAGUCAGGGGCUGUCUACGUAGGCAACUACAGAGUGGUGAAUAGACACCUCGCCACCCGCGAGGACUGGCAGCGGUGCGUGUGGGAAGAUUACAACAGAGAUCUUCUUGUGAGUACAACCACGGCACAUGGAUGCGAUAUCAUAGCCAGGUGUCAGUGCACAACCGGGGUUUAUUUCUGUGCGUCAAGGAAUAAGCACUAUCCAGUUUCCUUUGAGGGGCCGGGUCUUGUGGAGGUUCAAGAGAGUGAGUACUAUCCAAAGAGGUACCAAUCCCACGUGCUUUUAGCGGCAGGCUUUUCCGAACCAGGGGAUUGUGGUGGAAUCCUAAGGUGCGAACAUGGUGUCGUGGGCAUUGUAACUAUGGGAGGGGAGGGUGUUGUUGGCUUUGCCGACGUACGCGACCUGCUGUGGUUAGAAGAUGAUGCAAUGGAGCAGGGGGUCAAAGAUUACGUAGAGCAACUUGGAAACGCCUUUGGGUCAGGAUUCACUAACCAAGUCUGUGAACAGGUUAACCUUUUGAAAGAGUCCCUAGUGGGCCAAGACUCCAUCUUAGAAAAAUCUCUGAAAGCCCUAGUAAAAAUUGUGUCAGCCUUGGUGAUAGUCGUGAGGAACCACGACGAUUUAAUAACAGUGACUGCAACACUUGCCCUCAUUGGCUGCACCUCCUCACCAUGGAGAUGGCUUAAGCAAAAGGUGUCCCAGUACUAUGGCAUUCCAAUGGCUGAGCGCCAGAACAGUGGUUGGCUCAAGAAGUUCACUGAAAUGACCAACGCCUGCAAGGGAAUGGAGUGGAUAGCUAUUAAAAUCCAGAAAUUUAUAGAAUGGCUCAAAGUUAAAAUCCUACCAGAAGUUAAAGAAAAACAUGAGUUCUUAAACAGACUUAAACAACUUCCGUUACUGGAGAGUCAGAUUGCCACCAUUGAGCAAAGUGCACCUUCUCAGAGUGAUCAAGAGCAAUUGUUUUCUAAUGUUCAGUACUUUGCACAUUACUGCAGGAAAUACGCACCCCUGUAUGCGGCCGAAGCAAAAAGGGUGUUCUCCCUUGAGAAGAAAAUGAGUAACUACAUACAGUUCAAGUCCAAAUGCCGUAUUGAACCUGUAUGCUUGCUCUUGCACGGGAGUCCUGGUGCAGGGAAGUCAGUUGCCACUAACCUGAUUGGGCGCUCACUCGCGGAGAAGCUUAAUAGCUCUGUGUACUCUCUACCACCAGACCCAGACCAUUUUGACGGUUACAAACAACAGGCCGUUGUGAUCAUGGAUGAUUUAUGCCAGAACCCAGAUGGUAAGGAUGUUUCUUUGUUUUGUCAAAUGGUCUCCAGUGUGGACUUUGUACCGCCAAUGGCAGCGCUAGAAGAGAAAGGCAUUUUGUUCACCUCUCCCUUUGUCCUGGCUUCAACCAACGCCGGCUCUAUUAAUGCUCCAACAGUUUCAGACAGUAGGGCACUGGCUAGGAGGUUUCACUUUGAUAUGAACAUCGAGGUCAUUUCCAUGUACAGCCAGAAUGGGAAGAUAAACAUGCCUAUGUCGGUGAAGACGUGUGAUGAAGAGUGUUGCCCAGUCAACUUUAAGAAAUGCUGCCCCUUAGUGUGUGGAAAGGCUAUCCAGUUUAUAGAUAGAAGGACACAAGUCAGAUACUCCCUUGACAUGCUGGUAACUGAGAUGUUCAGAGAAUAUAACCAUAGACAUAGUGUUGGGGCCACCCUUGAGGCGCUAUUUCAGGGCCCGCCAAUAUAUAGAGAGAUUAAGAUCAGUAUUGCGCCAGAGACGCCACCACCACCUGCCAUUGCAGAUCUACUCAAAUCAGUAGACAGUGAGGCUGUGAGGGAGUACUGCAAAGAAAAAGGAUGGCUGGUUCCAGAGAUCAACUCCACCCUGCAGAUUGAAAAGCACGUCAGUAGGGCCUUUAUCUGUUUGCAAGCAUUGACUACUUUUGUCUCAGUAGCAGGAAUCAUCUACAUAAUAUAUAAACUCUUCGCAGGCUUUCAAGGAGCAUACACGGGAAUGCCCAAUCAGAAGCCCAAGGUACCCACUCUCCGUCAAGCAAAAGUACAAGGACCUGUAUUUGAGUUUGCCGUAGCCAUGAUGAAGAGGAAUUCGAGCACAGUGAAAACUGAAUACGGUGAGUUCACUAUGCUGGGUAUCUAUGAUAGGUGGGCUGUUUUGCCACGUCAUGCCAAACCUGGGCCAACCAUCUUAAUGAAUGAUCAAGAAAUUGGUGUGCUAGACGCCAAGGAGUUAGUGGACAAGGACGGUACAAACUUGGAACUGACACUACUUAAGCUGAACCGAAAUGAAAAGUUCAGAGAUAUUAGGGGCUUCUUAGCCAAGGAAGAGGUGGAGGUUAAUGAGGCUGUGCUAGCAAUUAACACCAGCAAGUUCCCUAACAUGUAUAUCCCAGUGGGACAAGUUACAGAGUAUGGCUUCCUGAAUCUGGGUGGUACACCCACCAAGAGAAUGCUUAUGUACAACUUCCCCACGAGGGCAGGUCAGUGUGGCGGAGUGCUCAUGUCCACUGGCAAAGUUUUGGGGAUCCAUGUUGGCGGGAAUGGUCAUCAAGGCUUCUCAGCGGCACUUCUUAAACACUACUUCAAUGAUGAACAAGGAGAAAUCGAGUUCAUUGAAAGCUCAAAGGAAGCAGGGUUCCCAGUCAUCAACACGCCUAGCAAAACUAAAUUGGAGCCAAGUGUCUUCCACCAGGUUUUUGAAGGCAAUAAAGAGCCAGCAGUCCUCAGGAAUGGCGAUCCACGCCUCAGAGCCAACUUUGAGGAGGCCAUAUUUUCCAAAUACAUCGGAAAUGUUAACACACACGUGGAUGAAUACAUGCUGGAAGCUGUUGACCAUUAUGCUGGUCAAUUGGCAACCUUAGACAUCAGCACCGAGCCAAUGAGAUUGGAAGAUGCUGUAUAUGGUACUGAAGGCCUUGAGGCUCUUGAUUUAACAACGAGUGCGGGCUACCCGUAUGUCGCUCUGGGCAUUAAAAAGAGGGACAUCCUCUCAAAGAAGACCAGAGACCUGACCAAGCUGAAGGAGUGCAUGGACAAGUAUGGCCUAAACCUACCAAUGGUAACCUAUGUGAAAGAUGAACUCAGAUCUGCAGAGAAGGUGGCGAAAGGGAAAUCUAGGCUAAUUGAGGCAUCCAGUUUGAAUGACUCCGUGGCAAUGAGACAAACAUUUGGCAACCUAUACAAAACUUUUCACCUAAACCCAGGGAUUGUAACUGGCAGUGCCGUCGGGUGUGAUCCAGAUCUCUUUUGGAGCAAGAUACCAGUGAUGUUGGAUGGCCAUCUCGUAGCUUUUGAUUAUUCUGGAUAUGACGCUAGCUUGAGUCCCGUAUGGUUUGCCUGUCUAAAGCUACUGCUUGAGAAACUUGGUUACUCGCACAAGGAGACCAAUUACAUUGACUACCUGUGCAACUCCCAUCACCUGUACAGGGAUAAACAUUACUUUGUGCGGGGUGGCAUGCCAUCAGGAUGCUCUGGCACAAGCAUCUUCAACUCAAUGAUAAAUAACAUCAUAAUCAGGACACUAAUGUUGAAGGUGUACAAAGGGAUCGACUUGGAUCAAUUCAGAAUGAUUGCUUAUGGUGAUGACGUGAUCGCAUCAUAUCCGUGGCCCAUAGAUGCGUCCCUGCUUGCUGAAGCUGGUAGGGAUUGUGGGUUGAUCAUGACACCAGCAGACAAAGGGGAUUGCUUCAAUGAAGUCACCUGGGCUAAUGUCACAUUUCUAAAGAGGUAUUUUAGAGCAGAUGAACAGUACCCCUUUUUAGUGCACCCCGUCAUGCCUAUGAAAGACAUACAUGAAUCAAUCAGAUGGACCAAGGACCCAAAGAACACCCAAGAUCAUGUGCGCUCGUUGUGCUUAUUGGCCUGGCACAACGGGGAGCACGAAUAUGAGGAGUUCAUCCGCAAAAUUAGAAGCGUCCCAGUUGGAGCUUGCUUGACUCUACCUGCGUUUUCAACUCUACGCAGGAAGUGGUUGGACUCUUUUUAAAUUAGAGACAAUUUGAACUAAUUUUAAUUGGCUUAACCCUACCGCACUAACCGAACUAGAUAACGGUGCAGUGGGGGUAAAUUCUCCGCAUUCGGUGCG